RNAcentral lists this ribosomal RNA (253 nucleotides) under uncultured bacterium. Its description in RNAcentral is "partial 16S ribosomal RNA". It matches the Rfam family "Bacterial small subunit ribosomal RNA", at positions 524 to 776 of the family's 1533-position model. The record is from RNAcentral.
UACAGAGGUCUCAAGCGUUGUUCGGAUUUAUUGGGCGUAAAGAGCGUGUAGGCGGUUAUGCAGGUCCGCUGUGAAAACUGGAGGCUUAACCUCCAGACGUCGGUGGAAACCGUAUGACUAGAGUCCGGAAGAGGAGAGUGGAAUUCCUGGUGUAGCGGUGAAAUGCGCAGAUAUCAGGAGGAACACCCGUGGCGAAAGCGGCUCUCUGGGACGGUACUGACGCUGAGACGCGAAAGCGUGGGGAGCAAACAGG